GUCCACGCCGUAAACGAUGUCAACUAGCUGUUGGAUAUAUGAAUAUAUUUAGUGGCGCAGCAAACGCGAUAAGUUGACCGCCUGGGGAGUACGGUCGCAAGAUUAAAACUCAAAGGAAUUGACGGGGGCCCGCACAAGCGGUGGAGCAUGUGGUUUAAUUCGAUGCAACGCGAAGAACCUUACCUACCCUUGACAUACAGUGAACUUUGCAGAGAUGCAUUGGUGCCUUCGGGGAACACUGAUACAGGUGCUGCAUGGCUGUCGU
This 265-nucleotide ribosomal RNA is filed under the name uncultured bacterium. RNAcentral describes it as "partial 16S ribosomal RNA". It matches the Rfam family "Bacterial small subunit ribosomal RNA", at positions 793 to 1055 of the family's 1533-position model. The record is from RNAcentral.